UAGCUUUGCAAUGUUCAGAUGUGAUCUUUUUCUCAUAGCUAUAUAGAUCAUCAUCUACGAUCUCAUAGCGAUCAUGGAGAGACUCAUAGCAUCUUCUCUCAAUAUACAAAGCAUAAAUAAACUAAAACAACUAUAUUCCUUUAUUUAAUACUCCCUCUCGAGCUUCAUGAUCUGAGUAGACGCUAACUUCUAAGCCUCCGCUUCCUUCAGAGUCUUCUCCCUUCCUGCCAGCUCACCAAUCUCCAAUAAAAAUGCAUCACUCGGAUCAGCCACGUCAAUCAACUCCUCACUCAUAAACUUCUUUACCCGC
Molecule: long non-coding RNA, 310 nt
Filed under: Brassica napus (rape)
Lineage: Eukaryota; Viridiplantae; Streptophyta; Magnoliopsida; Brassicales; Brassicaceae
Description: long non-coding RNA (BNAP_LNC016664)
Source: RNAcentral